This is a long non-coding RNA of Ictidomys tridecemlineatus (thirteen-lined ground squirrel), 409 nucleotides long. RefSeq lists it as uncharacterized. Lineage: Eukaryota; Metazoa; Chordata; Mammalia; Rodentia; Sciuridae. The record is from RefSeq and is a predicted model, not a curated record.
CACCACGAAGUCCUCACCUCGAGCCCCAAGCAAUGGAGCCUGCCGUCUGUGGAUUGAGACCUCUGAAACUGUGAGCUUCCAAAUAAGCUUUUCCUCCUCUAUAAUUGUGCUGACGGGGCUAAAAAGCUGACUUGAACACUCUGCUUCUGUGGUUCAUGACUCUGAGACUUGACAACCCGAGCAGGUGCAUCUCUCCCCGCUGGCCAGAAGGUUCCGAUGCUGGGUGGCCACCACAAAUCGCUCACCACAAAUGACAGAUCAUCCUCCAUCAUCUCAUCUAAACCACAGAACAACCCAGAGAGAGGCUCCCAUCAGCCUCAUUUCCCAGAUAAAAUGACUGGCAGCUAUCUUGACCACAAGAUGAUGGUGAGGACAGAAGCCAAAGGACAAGUCUUUUGGUCACAGCUCA